UCAAAUACCACCUUACUUUUUUCUACUCCAUCCAGCUUUUAUAAUAGUUUUUUUAUAUUUUAAAAUCAGGAAGGAUGCCAUUAAUAAGAAAAAAAUUACAGGACUGCAUGACAGACAUGUGUUCUUCCCAGCACAACAAUGCCAGACCCUAAUAAAUGAAAAAUAAAAGCUUUACAAGAAUAAAAAAAAAUUACUUUAAAAAACCCUACACAGACACAAGUAAAGCCUAAACCUAAGAAAAAAACCCAAAC
RNAcentral lists this long non-coding RNA (251 nucleotides) under Gossypium raimondii (Peruvian cotton). RNAcentral describes it as "long non-coding RNA (GRAI_LNC008181)". The record is from RNAcentral. Lineage: Eukaryota; Viridiplantae; Streptophyta; Magnoliopsida; Malvales; Malvaceae.